AUUGAACGCUGGCGGCAUGCCUUACACAUGCAAGUCGAACGGUAGAGUAGCAAUACUUGAGAGUGGCGAACGGGUGAGUAAUAUAUCGGAACGUGCCCAGUCGUGGGGGAUAACGUAGAGAAAUUUACGCUAAUACCGCAUACGAUCUAUGGAUGAAAGCGGGGGAUCGCAAGACCUCGCGCGAUUGGAGCGGCCGAUAUCAGAUUAGGUAGUUGGUGGGGUAAAGGCUCACCAAGCCAACGAUCUGUAGCUGGUCUGAGAGGACGACCAGCCACACUGGGACUGAGACACGGACCAGACUCCUAUGGGAGGCAGCAGUGAGGAAUAUUGGACAAUGGGCGCAAGCCUGAUCCAGCCAUGCCGCGUGCAGGAUGACGGUCCUAUGGAUUGUAAACUGCUUUUAUACUAGGAAGAAACACUCCGACGUGUCGGAGACUUGACGGUACUGUAAG
RNAcentral lists this ribosomal RNA (452 nucleotides) under uncultured bacterium. RNAcentral's name for it is "bacterial SSU rRNA". It matches the Rfam family "Bacterial small subunit ribosomal RNA", at positions 30 to 484 of the family's 1533-position model. The record is from RNAcentral.